GCGGCAACAGCUCAAAUUUGAAAUCUGGCCCUCGGGUCCGAGUUGUAAUUUGUAGAGGAUGCUUUUGGUGCGGUGCCUUCCGAGUUCCCUGGAACGGGACGCCAUAGAGGGUGAGAGCCCCGUCUGGUUGGACACCAAGCCUCUGUAAAGCUCCUUCGACGAGUCGAGUAGUUUGGGAAUGCUGCUCUAAAUGGGAGGUAUAUGUCUUCUAAAGCUAAAUACCGGCCAGAGACCGAUAGCGCACAAGUAGAGUGAUCGAAAGAUGAAAAGCACUUUGAAAAGAGGGUUAAAUAGUACGUGAAAUUGUUGAAAGGGAAGCGCUUGUGACCAGACUUGAGCCCGGUUAAUCAUCCAGCCUUCUGGCUGGUGCACUUGGCCGGCUCAGGCCAGCAUCAGUUCGGCGUGGGGGAUAAAGGCUUCGGGAAUGUGGCUCCUCCGGGAGUGUUAUAGCCCGUUGCGUAAUACCCUGUACUGGACUGAGGUUCGCGCAUCUGCAAGGAUGCUGGCGUAAUGGUCAUCAGCGACCCGUCUUGAAACACGGACCAAGGAGUCGUCUUCGUAUGCGAGUGUUCGGGUGUCAAACCCCUACGCGUAAUGAAAGUGAACGCAGGUGAGAGCUUCGGCGCAUCAUCGACCGAUCCUGAUGUUCUCGGACGGAUUUGAGUAAGAGCAUACGGGGCCGGACCCGAAAGAAGGUGAACUAUGCCUGUAUAGGGUGAAGCCAGAGGAAACUCUGGUGGAGGCUCGCAGCGGUUCUGACGUGCAAAUCGAUCGUCAAAUAU
This 782-nucleotide ribosomal RNA is filed under the name Cosmospora viridescens. Its description in RNAcentral is "eukaryotic LSU rRNA". It matches the Rfam family "Eukaryotic large subunit ribosomal RNA", at positions 98 to 912 of the family's 3401-position model. The record is from RNAcentral. Lineage: Eukaryota; Fungi; Ascomycota; Sordariomycetes; Hypocreales; Nectriaceae.